This 27-nucleotide small RNA is filed under the name Bombyx mori (domestic silkworm). RNAcentral describes it as "ovarian small RNA-26199". The record is from RNAcentral. Lineage: Eukaryota; Metazoa; Arthropoda; Insecta; Lepidoptera; Bombycidae.
UCAUGAAAGUGAAGCGUUUAGUGCGGA